GACGAACGCUGGCGGCGUGCUUAACACAUGCAAGUCGAACGGAAAGGCCCUGCUUGCGGGGUACUCGAGUGGAGAACGGGUGAGUAACACGUGGGAGCUCUGCCCUGCACUUCGGGAUAAGCUUGGGAAACUGGGUCUAAUACCGGAUAGGAGCCAUCUUUAGUGUGGUGGUUGGAAAGUUUUUUCGGUGUAGGAUGAGCUCGCGGCCUAUCAGCUUGUUGGUGGGGUAAUGGCCUACCAAGGCGGCGACGGGUAGCCGGCCUGAGAGGGUGUACGGCCACAUUGGGGAUGAGAUACGGCCCAGACUCCUACGGGGGGCAGGAGGGGGGGAUAUUGCACAAUGGGGGCAAGCCUGAAGCAGCGACGCCGCGGGGGGGAUGAAGGCCUUCGGGUUGUAAACUCCUUUCGCUAGGGACGAAGCUUUUUUGUGACGGUACCUAGAGAAGAAGCACCGGCUAACUACGUG
This 466-nucleotide ribosomal RNA is filed under the name uncultured bacterium. Its description in RNAcentral is "partial 16S ribosomal RNA". It matches the Rfam family "Bacterial small subunit ribosomal RNA", at positions 28 to 507 of the family's 1533-position model. The record is from RNAcentral.